CCUACGGGGGGCUGCAGUGGGGAAUUUUGGACAAUGGGCGCAAGCCUGAUCCAGCCAUUCCGCGUGAGUGAAGAAGGCCUUCGGGUUGUAAAGCUCUUUCGCAAGGGAAGAAAACUUAUCCUCUAACAUAGGAUGAGGUUGACGGUACCUUGAUAAGAAGCACCGGCUAACUACGUGCCAGCAGCCGCGGUAAUACGUAGGGUGCGAUCGUUAAUCGGAAUUACUGGGCGUAAGGUUUGCGCGGGCUGUUUGAAAUCCCCGAGCUAAACUUGGGAACUGCGUUUGAAACUACAAGACUAGAAUAGGUCAGAGGGGGGUAGAAUUCCACGUGUAGCAGUGAAAUGCGUAGAGAUGUGGAGGAAUAUCAAUGGCGAAGGCAGCCCCCUGGGAUCAUAUUGACGCUCAUGCACGAAAGCGUGGGGAGCAAACAGGAUUAGAUACCCUGGUGUC
RNAcentral lists this ribosomal RNA (450 nucleotides) under uncultured bacterium. RNAcentral describes it as "partial 16S ribosomal RNA". It matches the Rfam family "Bacterial small subunit ribosomal RNA", at positions 338 to 795 of the family's 1533-position model. The record is from RNAcentral.